RNAcentral lists this transfer RNA (74 nucleotides) under Cyanobacteria bacterium UBA11162. RNAcentral's name for it is "tRNA-Gly". It matches the Rfam family "tRNA". Rfam says of the family: Transfer RNA (tRNA) molecules are approximately 80 nucleotides in length. Their secondary structure includes four short double-helical elements and three loops (D, anti-codon, and T loops). Further hydrogen bonds mediate the characteristic L-shaped molecular structure. tRNAs have two regions of fundamental functional importance: the anti-codon, which is responsible for specific mRNA codon recognition, and the 3' end, to which the tRNAs corresponding amino acid is attached (by aminoacyl-tRNA synthetases). tRNAs cope with the degeneracy of the genetic code in two manners: having more than one tRNA (with a specific anti-codon) for a particular amino acid; and 'wobble' base-pairing, i.e. permitting non-standard base-pairing at the 3rd anti-codon position. The record is from RNAcentral. Lineage: Bacteria; Bacillati; Cyanobacteriota.
UGGUGGAUAGCUCAAAGGAAGAGCGCAUGACUACCCAUCAUGAAGUGUUGGUUCGAUUCCAACUCCAUCAACCA